RNAcentral lists this long non-coding RNA (389 nucleotides) under Brassica napus (rape). Its description in RNAcentral is "long non-coding RNA (BNAP_LNC021708)". Lineage: Eukaryota; Viridiplantae; Streptophyta; Magnoliopsida; Brassicales; Brassicaceae. The record is from RNAcentral.
ACCUUUUUACAUCAUCAUAUAAAGUUUCUCUUGCUCUGUUGCCAAAAAAAAAAAAAAAAAAGUUUCUCUUGCUCAUUAUGUACAGAUUGACUGAUCCAAUGGAUGACCCAUCAGCCUUGACCUCUGAACUUCUAGAUCACUUCUCCAAAGUCUUAUAUCUUUUUGUUAACCAGAACAUCCUGAAACAUGUAGCGACACAUCUCUAUUUUCAGCCAAAUGCACACUGUUAAAAAGUUCUUUUUGAGAACUGGCAUAACUGUUAGAAAAAUCUCAAGCUCUAGAAAAGGCUUCAAUGGGUAGUAAGCCAAUAGUCUCAUCGCCAUCCACUAUUAAACAUCACACUAAACAUGAUCUAGAUCAGAAUACAACGUCUCCUUAGACACAGCACU